This 506-nucleotide ribosomal RNA is filed under the name uncultured bacterium. Its description in RNAcentral is "bacterial SSU rRNA". It matches the Rfam family "Bacterial small subunit ribosomal RNA", at positions 35 to 573 of the family's 1533-position model. The record is from RNAcentral.
GCUGGCGGCGUGCCUAACACAUGCAAGUCGAACGAGAAAGUGGAGCAAUCCAUGAGUAAAGUGGCGACCGGGUGAGUAACACGUGACUAACCUACCUCCGAGUGGGGAAUAACUCCGGGAAACCGGGGCUAAUACCGCAUAACAUCGCAAGAUCAAAGCAGCAAUGCGCUUGGAGAGGGGGUCGCGGCUGAUUAGCUUGUUGGCGGGGUAACGGCCCACCAAGGCGAAGAUCGGUAUCCGGCCUGAGAGGGCGCACGGACACACUGGAACUGAAACACGGUCCAGACUCCUACGGGAGGCAGCAGUGGGGAAUUUUGCGCAAUGGGGGAAACCCUGACGCAGCAACGCCGCGUGGAGGAUGAAGCCCUUUGGGGCGUAAACUCCUUUCGACUCGGAAGAUAAUGACGGUACGAGUGGAAGAAGCACCGGCUAACUCUGUGCCAGCAGCCGCGGUAAUACAGAGGGUGCGAGCGUUGUUCGGAAUUAUUGGGCGUAAAGGGCGCGUA